This 284-nucleotide long non-coding RNA is filed under the name Prunus persica (peach). RNAcentral's name for it is "long non-coding RNA (PPER_LNC004633)". Lineage: Eukaryota; Viridiplantae; Streptophyta; Magnoliopsida; Rosales; Rosaceae. The record is from RNAcentral.
GCAUGCAUUCAUCAUAAGCAAUUAAAUAAAAAUCACAUAUUCAUGCUAAGGUUCAAGGCUUCACCCUAGCAAAAUAAAAUUAGUUAUGCAUAUUCAUAAUUGAAAUCCAAGAAAAUAUCAUUUAGAAGGAAAAGAUUGAAAACACCUUAAAGUAGCAAAAACCCAAAACCCCAGCUUGCUCUCCACAAUGUCACGUUCAAAAGUGAAAAAGAAGAAGUCCCUAAAUUCCUUGUGAGAAAGGGCUUAAAUACCCCUUAAAACCUAGCUGCCAAUGUAAAGCUUUU